Camellia sinensis is the source of this 309-nucleotide non-coding RNA. NCBI's taxonomy places the organism in Eukaryota, Viridiplantae, Streptophyta, Magnoliopsida, Ericales, Theaceae. The record is from RefSeq and is a predicted model, not a curated record.
UAUACACAGCAAAUAAAAAUUUAUAAAACAUAUUUUUUUGUUGUCAUAUUCCUGCUUUGUCCCUUGUCUGUGUCCGUGUUUCAUGGCAUUUUGGAAACGAAAUACAAUAAAUUGAGGAAAAUAGACUUGAUGAGCUCCACUCUUUCAGAAACAUGGGAAUGCCUGCUUGGGUAUAUUGAAUGGCAGUGAAGUAGGGCUCGGAAACAACAACAUACUUGGCGAUAUUUCUCUACAAGAUAAAAUGGUGAUUUAUGACAACGAAAAACAACAAAUUGGAUGGGUUGCUGAAAACUGCGACAGGCUUCUCAA